AGCAAGCUGGCGGCGUGCCUAAUCAUGCAAGUGCUACGCUUCUUUCUUACCGAGUGCUUGCACUCACAAGGAAGAGGAGUCGCGAACGGGUGAGUAACGCGUAGGUAACCUGUCUUUAAGAGGGGGAUAACUAUUGGAAACGAUAGCUAAUACCGCAUACUUUUCUCAGACGCCUGUUUGAGGGAAGAAAGGGGCAAGAGCUCCGCUUAGAGGUGGACCUGCGUUGUAUUAGCUAGUUGGUAGGGUAAAGGCCUACCAAGGCGACGAUACAUAGCCGGCCUGAGAGGGUGAACGGCCACACUGGGACUGAGACACGGCCCAGACUCCUACGGGAGGCAGCAGUAGGGAGUCUUCGGCAAUGGGGGGAACCCUGACCGAGCAACGCCGCGUGAGUGAAGAAGGAAUUCGUUUCGUAAAGCUUUGUUGUAAGUGAAGAACGUGCUUGAGAGUGGAAAGUUCAGGCAGUGACGGUAACUUACGAGGAAGGGACGGCUAACUACGUGCCAGCAGCCGCGGUAAU
This 520-nucleotide ribosomal RNA is filed under the name uncultured bacterium. RNAcentral describes it as "bacterial SSU rRNA". It matches the Rfam family "Bacterial small subunit ribosomal RNA", at positions 35 to 524 of the family's 1533-position model. The record is from RNAcentral.